UUCGACAAAAAUAACAUGAAAGACCUAUUUCGAUGGAGGAGUUUGAUAUCUUUGAUCGCUCUGACCUGCAUUAAUAUUUCUAUCUUGCAACGAUCCACGAUCUGAAGGUUGUGGAGUUGUAUUUGAUUGAGAUAAAACUGUUUUCUUCAGGUCUUCAAACAUAUCAAACAUUUCAUCAUAUUUCCUUUUUAAAAUUUGAUUAUUCUGUAAAACAUUUAAGAUUCAUUUAUAUUUAUGUAUUACUUUAAAAUUUUAUUGACUUUCAUACACAUACCUCCAUUAACUUUUCCAUUUGAUCGUUCAUUUUUUCUUUUCCUUUUUUUCUUUUUCUUUUUCUUUUUCGAUAGAUCUUGCAUUCAUUUCAAUUGAAAAUCUGGUAGAAGCAGUGUUCGACUCAGCAAAUGAUCCUCCACCAAGUCCAAUGUGCCUUCCUUUUUUGCUUUGAAUAAACUUAGAAAUGCAUUU
RNAcentral lists this long non-coding RNA (465 nucleotides) under Zostera marina. RNAcentral's name for it is "long non-coding RNA (ZMAR_LNC005209)". Lineage: Eukaryota; Viridiplantae; Streptophyta; Magnoliopsida; Alismatales; Zosteraceae. The record is from RNAcentral.